RNAcentral lists this ribosomal RNA (1044 nucleotides) under Holcosus festivus. RNAcentral's name for it is "partial 16S ribosomal RNA". It matches the Rfam family "Bacterial large subunit ribosomal RNA", at positions 821 to 2622 of the family's 2925-position model. Lineage: Eukaryota; Metazoa; Chordata; Lepidosauria; Squamata; Teiidae. The record is from RNAcentral.
UUGAAAAGCCAACCGAGCUUGUUGAUAGCUGGUUGUCUGAAUAAAUGAAUCUUAGUUCAACCUUAGACUCCAAUAGCCACCCUUUUGGCCCAACUUAGUCUAAGAUAUAGUUAAUGAAGGCACAGCUUCAUUAAUACAGGAAACAGCCUUUAUUAGAGACAAAAUCACAUCUUAUACCACGUAGGCCCUAAAGCAGCCAACAAAGACAAAAUGCGUUACAGCAAUUCAUAUAUAAAAUACCACAAUAAAAAUAAAACUCCUACUAUGCAUCAGACAAAUCUAUAAACAUAGAAACACCCCUGUUAAAACUAGUAAUAAGAAAAAUUCUCUAGCACACAAGUAACAAUUAACAGACAUCUACUAAUUGAACCCAGAAAUUAACAAGAUAAAGCCAACCUACUUAAACUGUUAGCCCAACCCAGGAGUGUAUAAAAGAAAGAUUAAAAGUUAUAAAAGGAACUCGGCAAUCAAAGUCCCAACUGUUUACCAAAAACAUAGCCUUUAGCCCAACAAGUAUUAAAGGUAAUGCCUGCCCAGUGAUUUUUUUCAACGGCCGCGGGAUCCUACACCGUGCAAAGGUAGCAUAAUCACUUGUCAUCUAAAUAAUGACUAGUAUGAACGGCCCAAUGAGGACUUUCCUGUCUCUUAUAAUCAAUCAAUGAAACUGAUCUCUCAGUCCAAAAGCUGAAAUACCCCCACAAGACGAAAAGACCCUGUGGAACUUCUAAGUGCUAAUCAAUUAAUGAUUAAUCACUUUUGGUUGGGGCAACUUUGGAACAAAACAAAACUUCCAAUUUUUAGGAUUAUUAAAAAUUUAAACUUAGGCCUACCUGCCAAUCUUUAAGUCCUUAUUCGACCCAGCACCGCUGAUAAAAGAAACAAGCUACCCCAGGGAUAACAGCGCCAUCCCCUCUUAGAGUCCCAAUCGACGAGCGGGGCUUACGACCUCGAUGUUGGAUCAGGGCCCCCAAACAGUGCAGCAGCUGUUAAAGGUUUGUUUGUUCAACAAUUAAUGCCCUACGUGAUCUGAGUUCAGACCGGAGA